This 4542-nucleotide long non-coding RNA is filed under the name Homo sapiens (human). Its description in RNAcentral is "HSALNT0251725". Lineage: Eukaryota; Metazoa; Chordata; Mammalia; Primates; Hominidae. The record is from RNAcentral.
UUUUCUGCCGCCCUCCUCUCUCUUCUUGCUUCAGAGCAACACCCCCACCCCCACCCUGUCACAUGAAUGUACAGUGACGUUAUUCAUAGAUCAACUUCAUUGAGCUCUGGCCAAUACGCUGCCAAUUAUUCUUUCAAAUAGCGUCUUCUCUGUGUUAUCAAAGCCUGAGUAAGAAAGCGGCAGAUCCUCUGGUUUGCCAGACAUACUUUUCUGGUUGCUCACAUCUCUAGUGUCACAACAGGAGCCAGUGUACCCUGGACGACAUUGUUACAUGUGCUUUCCCAAAUCCACGGACUUCUGGCUGAUCCGGGGUUGCAAUAUGCACUGCACCACCAUCCUCUCUCUUGGAAAUUCCCUUCGGCUGGGAAAGAAAUGGAUGAUCAAGCAAGCCCAUGAGAAAGACAUUUCGGGAAAACUAGAAUCCUGUUAAGUUAUGGGAUUUUUUUCAAGCCACAUGGUUGAUAAGUAGUCUGACCAGGAUCCUGGAGCAACACAAGGAAGACAAGGACCCUUGAAGACAAGGCAGCCUUGAAACCAAAUGAAGCCCUGGGCCAGUGAGCAUGGCAAGAGGAAGACUGUUAAUUGCGAGAAAGCUGGGUCUUGAAGAUGAUUCCAUAUCAACAUACAGGGAGUUCCACCACUGAAUGGUCUAUCGGUUGGGAAUGCCAUCAUUUAUUUUCACCAGUGGGGAAGAAUUGGUAUUAAUAUCAAAACCACAGUACUGUCAUACCCAGCUAUAAUUUGCAAUGUUUAUAUGCCUGUACGAAUGAAUAAUUAACAGUUAAAUGAAUCAAUAUAUAUCUAUCUAUGUGUAGGAAUAUCUAAUCUAUAAUAUAUGCUCGCGUAAGUGGUAAUUAAUCUCUUUUUUGAGACAGGGUCUUUCUCUGUCAUACAGGCUGGAGUGCAAUGACAUGAUUAUGGACCUUCAGGGAUUGAGCAGCUCGACAUCCCAAGGAUCAAGCAAUCCUCCGGCCUCAGCCUACCAAGUAGCUGGGACUACAGCCAUUUGACACCCCACCCAGUUAAUUUUUGUUUUUUGUUUUUUUGUAAAGACAAGGUUUAGCCAUGUUGCCCAGGCUGGUCUGGAACCCCUGGGUUCAAGCAAUCCUCCCACCUCAGCUUCCCAAAGUGCUGGGAUUAUAGGCAUAAGCCACUGCACCCAGCAUAAAUAAUCUCUUAUUUGUUCAUCCAUGGUGUUGUCUUUAGUUUUUAAAAAUGGAUCCUUUUGUUAUUCUUUUAUAGCCCCAGAUUAAGAAUUUGUCCAAGUUUUGUAUAUUUUUUCAGUUAUUUCAAUAUCAAAGCCCAGCACAUCUUUAAAAUCACUUCUAUGUAUAGAUAUUAACCUUUUUGACAUUUGUGUUUUGGUAUUCCAUAUUUACUCAGUUCUCCUUUCACACCCUCCCUUUAGAAGAGGAGUAUGACCAUGGCAGGAUGGAGGGGUAGUGGCAGUAGGGGCCAUAGUAUGUUUUCUAUAUUUAUCCAGCAUAUUUAAAACAUGGUAUUCUAGCUUCAAGGGAGAACAUUGAACUCCCAUUUGGACAUGUUAAGUUGAAGAUGUCUGUUAGACACCCAAGAGAAUAUGUCAAGCAGAUAUCAUCUGCCCUUGUUUUUCCUUUUCCAAACUGGCUCUCCUUAGUUCCAUCUCCAGAUGACAUGGUCCUCAAACCCUUUGUGAUCUUGGUUCUCUACUCCAGUUCUUCAAUGUUUUUCUUGAAUGUGGCACCCAGAAUUAAAUAGAGCACCCCAGAUAAUGGCUGCCCAGCAGGAUAGACAUGUGUUUGUUAUAUAAUUCUUAGAGACUAUAGCUGACGUCACUGGUGCCCAGCCCAUAUCUUCUUGAGCCCUAGCAUUUUCGUGCAUGGUGGCCUGAUUUCUAACUGUCAGCACCUAAAUAUCUUUGCCUGAGGACUUUCUCUGUCGGCCAGAGCCUGCUUUGUGCACAGUCAGAAGUGCCAAGGAGUCAACACUCCCCAAAGGAGUCUUCAGCCAGUAACGAAAUGAAAGGUGGAGUAUAAAAACCCCAGCUCCCUCACCACUCAGCUGGGGUAGCCCUGAGAUUCAUGCUCUCCACCCUCUUCAGAGUUUCCCGGCAGCAUCAUGUUCCUGUUACCCUUCUCACUACUGACUUGAUGCUCAUCCUUUCUUGGCUCCUUCCCUGUGUCACUUCCCCCAUCCCAUAUGGGAGAAGGCUUCCUGGGUUCACCUUCCAAAGUAAUUACUGGUACUGGAAUUCUCAUCUCAAGUUUUGCCUUAGGGUCACCCAAACUAAGACAGUGCCUAAUGCUGCAUCAGCUUUCUUACCAGUCACAUGAUGCUGUUGUAUCCUUAAUGUCAGAUAAACUCCCAGCUUCUUUUUAUGUCAACUGCUACCAAGCCACACAUUCUCAGUGCUGUGCCUUUGUUAUUGAUUUUUUAACCUAAACUCAGAGUUUAUGUUUAUUCCUGUUAUACUCUUAAGUUUUUUUCCAUAUUCCAACCUAACAGAAUAACUUUGAAUAUUGAUUUGUUCUUUCGUUGUGUUAACUAUCCCUUCCAGACAUGAGUCAUAUGUAGAAAUCUGAUAAGCAUGUUUCCUGUGCCUUCAUUCACUUAAAACAAACAAACAAACAAACUUUGAACAAGGUAGGGUUAGGAAAAGAAUUCUAAACUCAAUUCCUCCCAUUGUUCAAUAAUCAAGAUUCUUUCAGUAAGAAUGCUUAUUGGUAGUGAUUCAAACUAUCUGCACCAGUUCAACCCAGAAUUUACAAAUUUGCCCAUAGGAAUAUCAGGCAAGCUCAGCUCAGUUGCUUUGCUAGAAUAGAGAAGAUCCACAAUUAUGUCAUGCCUCUGAUACAUGAGCCUAUAACCUUAUCAGAAAGGAAAUAUGGUUCAUUUGGCUUGUUAUUAGCAAUUUUAUUUUAACCACUAAGAACCUCUGAAUUCAUUUCUAAAACCCUCCAAUCUUCCUUUUAUUUUCUUUUAUUUAUAUAUAUAUAUUUUUAUUUUAUUUUACUUUAUUUUUGAGACAGAGUCUCACUCUGUCACCAGGCUGGAGUGCAGUGGCAUGAUCUCGGCUCACUGCAACCUCUGCAUCCCGGGUUCAAGCAAUUCCUCUGCCUCAGCCUCCCAAGUAGCUGGGAAUACAGGUGCACACCACCAUGCCCAGCUAAUUUUUGUAUUUUUAGUAGAGAUGGUGUUUCACCAUGUUGGCCAGGAUGGUCUCGAUCUCUUGACCUUGUGAUCUGCCCACCUCGGCCUCCCAAAGUGCUGGGAUUACAGGCGUGAGCCAUCACGCCUGGCCUCCAAUCUUCCUUUUAAUAAUUUGAUCUGGAAUUUUAUCAGGGAGCUAUGCAUGCAUGUCAGGGGAGAUCAAGUUUAUGGUUUCCAGAAUCUACACUUUCUUUUUGAGAAUGGGAACUUUUGCCAGUACAUUGUUUUCCUAUCCUCAUUUCCAUAAUUUCUCAACAACAGUAAGUAGUUUUAAGGUCACAUUUGCAAGUUUUUUGAGGAGCCUGGGAUGUAACUUUUCUGGAGACUUCAACCUACUUUAAAUGGUCACAUGCCCCCUGUGUCCCUCACUGCCUCCCUUCUGCUGAGCUCUCCCCAGUCCUGGGAAGGCUGAUUCUUUAGCUAGAGAACCCAGACCAGCCCUGUGGCCUCAUAUUUCCACAUCAGCCUUCUUGAAUCUGUGUUCCUCCCCCCUCACUUAUCUUUUUACAUCAAACACAUGGCUCAAAGCUUUUGAUAUUUGACUUGACUCUUCAGGACCCCAAGCUCCUCUGACUCAGCCCUCCACCCCCCACCCCUAACCCACGGCCCACUCUGCUUGAGGGCUCCCCAAAACCUCAAACUCCACCGUAAGCUCCCUGAGCAGCCACAAGGAUUUUGGGGUUUGGUUUGGUUUUGCCUCUUACUCCCUUUUCAUUUUCCCUGGCAUCAUUCACAUUCACCAAUCAGAUUCAUUUUUAUCAUCUCCUAUUCCUCAUGAGAAAUACAUUUUUUUAUAACCUUUUACCUUGAAUUCAAAUCCAUUUUUCCUCUGAAGCACCUGAGGUGAGGUGGGUAUCUCCUCUUGUCCUAAUCUUAUCCACAUGCCAUGAUAUGGUUUGUCUGUGUCCCUACCCAAAUCUCAUCUUGAAUCAUAGCUCCUGUAAUCCCCAUGUGUUGUGGGAAGAACCUGGUGGGAGGUAAUUGAAUCAGAGGGGUGGGUUUUUCCCAUGCUGUUCUUGUGAUAAUGAAUAAGUUUCAUGAGAUCUGAUGGUUUUAUAAAGGCGAGUUCCCCUGCAAAAUGCUCUCUUUCCUGCCACCAUGUAAGAUGUGACUUUGCUUCUCCUUUGCUUCCACCAUGAUUGUGAGUCCUCCCCAGCCAUGUGGAACUGUGAGUCAAUUAAACCUCUUUCCUUUAUAAAUUACCCAGUCUCAGAUAUGUCUUUAUUAGCAGCAUCAAAACAGACUAAUACACACCACCAGUUUUCCUCCUGCAUGUUCCUCAGUUCUGCUAGAACUGUAAAAAGAUGGAUUCCAUAGACUGGAGUCACCCUGAGGGCAGGGAUGGACCCCUAU